This is a non-coding RNA of Cinara cedri, 14680 nucleotides long. The record is from the annotation of a GenBank genome assembly. NCBI's taxonomy places the organism in Eukaryota, Metazoa, Arthropoda, Insecta, Hemiptera, Aphididae.
AGACAUUGUUAACGAACUGAAAAAAAAAAAACAGAAACGGGCAGGUCACGUCGUGUUGAGCAGAUAAAAUUACAUGUUUAAAAAAGUCUACGCCAGAAAAAUUCAAGAGACAAAUGACCACUAGGAAAGUCAAAGCUUCGUUGAGACUUUUCAAGUAUCUUAGAGGAGAAACAGGUAAAUAUAGACUGGAAGUAGGUAGCGGUAUAUAAAAUAGACCUGAAAAGAAUUUGUUCAGUAUUAUGGUCUCAAAGACCUUUUUAAAAUUAAAAUAAAAUUAAUGGUAAUUAUUCUACCGAUGAUGACGUGAAAACGGCCGGACGUCAUCGAAGAUUAAGAAAAUAACUAUAAUAAUCAUAUUUAAAUUUUAAAAAGUAUUUAAAGAGGGCGUAGUCUAGGCGUGUAGUAAUAUUCGUAAUUGAUAUUCGUGAACAUAAUUAAUUAGGUAAGUAAUCGAUAUGUUCAAUAUUGAAAGUAAUAUAAGUAUAGGUAUCGUUAAACUAUGUAUUUAAAUUUGUAUUUCGUGUACCUACAUGGUAUACUUUGGACUUAAAAAUACUAUUAUCAGAAUAACCGAUUUUUAUCGUCGGAUCUAUAAAUACAAUAAAUAGGUCGCUGUAGUGUAAUUAUUAAAUAAACAUUAAUUCUGCAGAAUCGGAUUUAUGUGUAAAUUCUAAUUUUUUUUUUCUUAAGUAGACUUUCACUUUACUUUCUUGUACACCUGUCUAAAGUGCUGACUAAGUGCUGUGCACAAAAUGUUUUUAUUUUACAAACUUGUCUUGAAAAACCAUUGCAUUAUAUAAAUAAUUACGAGAUCUAAUAAUAUACAUAUUGGAACAGACCCGUUCGAGGGAGGAGCAAGACAGUAGGGGCUAUAGCCCUAGAACUUGGGUUUCAAAGAGGGUCCAGGCCCGACCAAAGCCACCAGGUCCUAUAUUUUACCUAAUUUUUACAUUAAUGUACAAAUUAUUUGUAGUUUAAUUUCAUAAUAUUUUACUAAAAUAUCAGUACACAUUAUAUUAAAAAUUAAAUGUAAUAAUGAUAUAAAAAUUACUUUGUAGCAUAUUAUAUGUGUUAGUUAAUACUAAUAUAUGAUUUUAGAUUCUGAGUGGAGUGAAGAAGUUUAUAGUUUUACGAAAAUAUUUAUUUUGUUUUUUUUUUUGUAUCUGUGCGUGACUUUUCUGAAAAGAACUCCGUGUUGGGAAGUACUUUAGAGAAGUAAUUUUUCGAUUUUUUCAGGAGUUCUAGAAAUUAUUAUCUGAUUAUUCUGAAAAUGUUGACGUAUCAACUCUUUAUUUUCAUAAAAUUCGUAAUUUAAUAAUUUAUCUUCGGUUUAUCUUUGUGAGAUUAUUUUCGAGCUGUUCCCAACUGUUUUCAGUGGUGAAACAUUAUAAGGAACAAAAUCGAUUUCCUGUCGCUGUUAAAUUGGAGGAAUAUUUGUAGUAGAAAACAUCGAGUUAAUAUAAUAAAAACAAUGAAAAAGGUAAUGCCACGGUGUAAAAAUGUUUCGUUUUACCUAUACUUUUAUUUCGGGUUUUUCCCAAUUAUUUCAAAAACCCCUCGGAAAAUCGAAAAAUGACCUUUUCAAUAGAUUCAAUGAGAGAAAAUUAUCUUCUAGAAAAGGUGCUACAGUCUUCGGAUCAAAUUUUUUGGUAGAAAAGUUAUUCACAGACAUAAAAACAAAAAAAAAGUAUAAAAACGAUCAUCAUUGUAAAACCAAUAGAUCACUCGAUACGCUUCGAAUCUAAUACAUCCAUCAUCUAUGAUAUUAAAUGAAACACAUUUUCGUAUACAAAUUAUUUGUUUUAUUAUUAUUAUUAUUAAAAAAAAGGCUUUUGCCUUGAAAUCCCGAAAUCCUUUUUAUUAGUUAGUUUAAUUAAUAUUAGUGAUGGAAGUAUUUUAAUUUUAUACAUCAUUAAUUUAUUACAAGUUUGAUAUAAUAAUUGGGAUUGCACAAUAUUUGGAAAAAAAAUUUAAACAUUCGUACUAACUUAUAAAAAAAAACUUAAAAAAAUUAACGUAGACCGUUGUAAUCGUAAUUAGCGUCAACGUUUCCGCUUUGGGUUUCAAAUUUAAUUUUAGACCAGAUAAAAUUUCUCAUAUGGACGACGUGGUGCGAACUUUAGGAACCACUGUUAUAGAGUAAAAACUAAAUUUAAAAAAAAAAUCUAUAGUGGUGCACACCUAUUAUUAAUAUGUGAUUGAUGAUUAAUAGCCUAUUAAUCAUGAUACUUUAUAAUUUUUCAUCUGUAAACAUUAUAUAUUAGACUAACUUUGGAAUGUCACGGUCAUAUUUUAGUUCCUGUGUACAAACUUUCGGUAUAAUAAUAGCGUCCGAUUGUAAUAAUAAACGUUUCCAACAAUCCGACAACCCGUAUAUAAUUAAAGACGUUAUUAAAUUAUUGUGAGUUGUGACUACCUUAGUUUAAUGCAUCGAACUCUUCCGUUUUCUUGCAUGUCAUAAUAAUUUUUGAAAAACGUUUAAUUUUGUACUGCCUAUUUAAUAUACGUAUUUAUGCGAAAACAUGGCGAUAAACCUUUUAAAAAUCUAUUACAAUGUAUAAAUCGCAUCCACUUAGUGAAAUCGCUUUUUUCACAAAGUGGACAUCCACUUCAUGAAAUGUAUCCAUUCAAUGAAAAUUACGUUUUUCUACACUAUAUGGACAAUUUGUUGACCUUUUCAUGAAGUGGAUAAAAUUAAUUUUAUUCACAUUGUGUAAUAUAUAAAUAUAUAUAUUUUAUGAAAUAGGUAUUGUAUAAUAUUUUGUCACAUUGUACAUAUAUGCUUACUAAAAACGAUUCUGAGCGGAGUUCAGUUAAUAGUGAUGUUUGUAAACAAUAUGUAUAUCAUGGUAAAAUAAUUAAAUAGGCAUUAUAUAUUUUCUUUAAUAACAUUUGUUUAAUAUUGUACCGAUAUUUCCGUUUUUCCUACGUUUUUCCUGGUUUUUCAUAUUUGCUGACCACUGGAACGUUUAUACCUACAUACUAAAAUAUUUUAUGUUCACUGAAUGUCCCAUUGUCAUUAUGUUGUCACAUGAAAUCUUUACGUAUUAAUUUGCAGUCCAUUUCAUAUAAAUAUAAAUCAAUCUUUAUUUUUAGAAGUUGAUAUUUUUUUUUCAUAAAUUUACUAGGCCAAGGGUCAAUAAGUUAAAAAUUUUCAUAUAGAAUUCCGGCAUUCAGAUGCCCCCCAAACAUCUGCUGCCCGGGGCAAGUCCCCUUAAAACCCUUCGUCAAAUACGACCCUCCUAAAUGCAUCCAAAUUAUACGCAUAUUGAAAGGAAACAAUUUUACAAAAAAAAAAUAAUAAUAAUAAUAAUUUUAAAUUAAAUAUUGGACUUAUAAACGGCCAAAAGAGUACGGGAAUAUGUUUUAAUAUUACAAAUCUCGAACAUAUACCUAAUUAGUACAUAAAAAUGAAUUUGUGAUUUACUUGUUUAUUAGAAAUGUAUGCUUAAAUACUUCAAAUAAUGGAACAAGGUAAGCGUUUGUUAACCAUGCUGGCCUACAAAUGGGUAAAUAAUAGCGUAAGACGGACAAAUAAUUAGCAUUCAUACCGUUCUAAAGUACCUAUACCUCUAUAUUUUAUUUUUUUUUUAAAUUCCUUCAAUAAUUUUCAACUACCGGUCUCAGAGCCAGACACUCGAAAUUCCCCGAGUUCUAUUACUUCGGAUAUAAUAAUAUGUUCUGAUAAUAAUACAAGUGAUAUACGAUGGCUGAUAAUAUGCUAUUAUGCUAUAAUAAUAAUAUUAUAAAAAAUUGUGUACCUAUUAUAAUACUGUGGUAUAGUUAAUCAUAAUUUAGGUAAACAAACUAUAGUAGAGAGAAGGAUUUGUGUCUUUUAUUCACAGACUAAAAUAUGUGUAGUUUAUACGAUAUAGUUAAUGUAAUAAUGAUAACAUCGAAUAGUAUAUUUUUAGAUUCUGAGUGGAGCGAUGAAUAUAUUGGUUUUACAAAGAUGAUUAUUAUUUUACGUAGUUAUUGAAAAACCGAUAAAAAACUAUAUUAAACAUAUUAUUAUAGAGUUUAUUUAUGCGAAAGUAUUUAUAAUAUUAAUAUUAAUAUUAUUAUUCUAUUAAAAUAAAUCAAUGUAAUUCAGAACCAGAAAUGUUAUAUCUAUCUGGAACGGAAUAGUAUUUGUCACGGUCAUGGUUUCAUAAAAUAUUUUAUAAUAAUAAUACAAUGCGUAUAGAGAAUUUUUUACGUGCAACUCGUUAAUACUAACGUGAAAAAUGGCAAAAUAAAUAUUUUCUAAAUUUUAGUCGUUUUUUACCAUAUUAUAUUAAUAAAAUAACGAAAUACUAUUACUAUUUUGAUAACGUUUCACAUGGUCUCACAGAUCUAUAUAGCAAUAAAACAUUUCAUAAUAAUUAUAUUUCAAUAAGUUACAUAGAAUAUGUUUUGCCUUAAAUGUCUAUUUAAUUUAAAUAGGUAAACUAAAAAAUAUAAUUGAAGCAUCGUUACUAUAGUAAUAAUUCUAUAUUCUGUAAACAAUUAUAGCUAUAUAAAAAAAAGCAUAAUUUAUUAUGUUGAUAAUUUCUUAAAAGCCAGAAUAACUAUAAAAAUAUGAUUAAAUUUUUAUCAUUAGUUAUUAUGUAUUAUUAUAUUGUGCAAGGAACUCGUGUAUUUGUGUAUACGUAUUAUGUAUUAGUGGUUCGUAAAGUUAGGUAAAUAUUGUAUGGUAAAUAUACACAAUACGUAACCAUUCCUCUUGUUACUAUGAUCGUAUAAAAAUAGGCCAUUGUUUAAAAUUCUAAAUGUUAAACGACGUAGUGUGUUAAAACUUAAAACAUAAUGAUGAUUUUUCCUUGUAUUGAACCCGAACAAAUAAUUAUAUUUAAAACUGUUCGGAAGAAUUCGUUUUUAUGCAAAAUAUUAAGCUACGCUGUUUAGACGGUAUAAUAAUAUUAUACACGGUUAAAUAAAAGAGAUAAAUACCUGAUGUUAUUUGUUUAGUAAUAUUUUAUGGGGUCGGAUGGAAACUUUGUCUAAUUAACUUUUACUAAAACGUAGAUGAAUGUUACUCAACAUCCGUAAUUUAAUUCUAUUUAGAUAUAAUAGCUGCAGACAAAUUAGUUAUAAUACAGUGGUAUAAAAUUACACCGAAAUAAGGAGUAACUGCCAGCUAUAUUGGAACACUUGUAUUAUAAUAAACAUGUUAGAGAUAUUUAAUUAUGAUUAUGUAUAAUUUUACACGCAGUUUAAAUAUUGAAGUGUUGGUCAAACUGAACAAUAUUUUCCUUGUUUUUCAGUAAUUUGUCGAUUGAAUUUCAUGUUCACAAUAUACCCGUAUACUAUCUAUGUCAAAUUACCGAUUAUAUGCAUUGUAUUCUACUGAUUUAUUAGUAAAAUAUAUGAAUCCUAAACAAUUACGAGUUAUGUUAUAGCUGCGCAUUGUUUAUUUUUGUUCGUUUUUUUUGUUACAAAUUCAUAUACUUUUUGAUAUUAUUUAUUAUACAUGCUUAUCUAAAAUGGCCGAAAAUUGUUCGGAAAUUGAUGGAGUGACCUUGUCCUGUAUUUAAUGUAGCAGUAACAGCUGUAGCAUUUACCGUUAAUUUGUCAUUUAAGGUUGGAGAUUCGGAAUAAAAUGUUUCUUUUUUGCGACACAUAAAACGUUUAAAAUAAAAUUCAGACAAAUACCAUUAACAGAUUUCAUGUGUAAAAAGAAAGACAUACUUCGCACGUGGGUGUUAGGAAGUUGAGAAGAUAGGAUACAGAAGAGGAUUUCAUGUAUAUCUGUAAGCAACAAUAAACCAUUGCUAACGAAAAAAACGAUUCUGAGCGGAGUUUAGUUAUGUUAUAUUUCAGUCAUAUUAUGGUAAAAUAAUUAAAUGGUAUUACACAUUUUCUUUAAUAAUAUUUGUUUAAUAUUGAUCGAUUUUCUCGUUUUUCUACGUUUUUCCUUGUUUUCCCUUUUUUUUUCUAAUUUGUCCAAUUUGUUGAAAAAAAUGUUAAAAUAAAAAUAAAAAAAAUAAACAUCUUUGUAAAACCAAUACAUUCUUCGCUAUAAUUAGAAUCUAAAAUUAAUACAUUAUUUUACGUGUAUGGAACUUUUUAUUAUCAAAUCAAUAUGUAUUGUUAUUAUUUGUUUAUUAUUAUUUAUGGAUUAACGAACUACAAUACAACUAAUAACUUUUUAUUUUUUACUUAUCAAAAACUGUUUUCGCGUACAGCAGAUUGAGAACCGCUGAUCUAGAUAACUAUUUUAUCAUUUGUUCCACACUUCAAACAAUAUAAAUCUAAUAUUAUUAAAAAUAAUAAUAUUAUCAACUGGCUGCCUGUAAAAUCAUUGCCGUUUCACCCGGUAAAACUGAAUAUUGUUGCAAUUAACAUUUCGACGGAAAAUCGAUCAAGAGUAUUACCACUAGUGAUGUGCAUAUCCGGAUAAUGCAUAUAAUUCAAGAAAUCCUGAUAAGAAUUUGAUUCAAAUGCGGAUUUAAAUAUCCUUGAUAGUCAGAUAAUUCGGAUUUCGGAUUUGCGAGGCCGCAGUUCGGAGCUCUAAUGAUGUGGACUCCAACAUUUUAAAGUUUUUCUAUGAGAUCAUUUACGGCGGUAAAACCACUGUUAAAUAAUAAUGGUGAUUACAAAUUUGUAUUUGUGUCCGAAUAUUAAAUAAUAUAAAUAAUCCGAGACAUAACGUAAUUCUUGUUCCUAUCUGUUUUAUGAUUAUGUUUAGAAUGCUACCCCCACAAAAAAAAAAUAAUAAAAAUAAAUAAACAUAUUUGUAAAAUCAUACGCUUUUUCGCUCCACUCAGAAUCUAAAAUACAAUAAUGGAUUUGGACAUGGGAAUUGUAGUUGUAUUGCAAAUAUUAUUAAUUUUAGGUGUAUAAUGUUUAGGUUUUGGUUUCGUGCCCAUCGCUUUUGUUAAAAUCACAAAUACUGAAAACCUUAAAGCACAUUAAACACCAAAGUUAAUUUUUACAUUUAUAGAUGGUAAUAGUUAACAUCAAAAGAAAUAAAUCGUCAUAAAUUGUUAUUAUAUUUCUUAAAUGUUACAUUUAAUUCACAAUUCAUUCUAUCUUUGUAAUUACAAUCUGUCAUUCGAUCUAAAUGGUAGUAUGAUAUAUCAUUUAUACAUUUAUCUUCGGAUAUGCAUCGGGUUAUGCUGACAUCAUGGACGUUCACUGGAGGACAAAGGUGGAGAUAAUAUAUUCUCUGGCUUUUAAAUACCGAAAAAAAAUUACGUUAAAAACUCUUAAAAUUAAAAUGUCUUUAAAAAGCUCAAAAAUGGCUCAAAUGUUUUGAAAAUUUUACUACGUUUCAAAAAUACUACCUAGUAUAAGUUUUAUAAAAAAACGUAUUCUGACCAAAUUUCAAAUCUAUACGAACAUUUUUAAAUAAAUUACAACAAAAUAACAGUACAUUUACUCGAUUUUUCUACAAUUUUUUCCUGGUUUUUAUCAAUUAUUAUGAAAACUGCUUGGAAAAUCUAAAAAAUAAACUCAUUUAAGUACUAAUCAUAUAAAAUUUCCUUUAAGAAAAGGUGCUACAUUUCAAAAUUAGAGCAAGAAUAGAGAUAGAAUUUUUGUAUAUAUAGUAUAAAAAAAAAAUUAUAAAUAAACAUCAUUUUAAAAUGAAUACAUUCCACGCUUCGUCCAGAAUGUAAAAUGAUUUAUGACCUAUAUGAAUAUGUGGAUACGAGAAACACAGUAAAACACAUUAAGAGAUUACCUUGAUAUUAUAUUUGUUUUUUAAUAUUAGUAGUUUAGGUAUACAAAACUAAACUUGACCAUGAAAUAUAUAUCAGCAUUAUUAUAUAGAUUACUUAGUUAACUUAUUUUUUGUUUAAUACUUUUGAUUUUAAAAAAAUUUAGCCUUAAUAUUUAUAAAUCUUAUACAUCUUUAAGUUUUGUUUUUUUAUUUGUAUUAUACAUGUAUAUAUGUUUAUUACAUUUAAUUUUUUUGUCAUGGAUAUUAUGCUGUUUCUAUAUGAAUACGCAUUUUUAUUUUAAAAUAACUAAAAACAACAUUUUUUAUAAGUAAUAAGUUAUACUUAAGUUCUAUAAAAUUAAAAAUUAUAAAUCAAAUUUUUAUAAUUUAUAUCUAGUUUAAAGAUAUAUUUUGUUAUAAUCUUUUAGUUAAACGUUGAAUAAUAUUAUGAAAGUUUUAAUUAAUAAAAUAAAAGCUAAUUAAAGUCGUAUAAACAUUAGAAUAAACAAAGUUUAAGAUACAUAUCUAGGUUGUAGUUCAAUAAUUGUUUUUUAAUUUAUUUAUCUACUACUUAAUUACGAUAUAAAAUAUAUUUCAUACAAUUCAUAAAUUCAAACAAUAUAAUUGUAUAGUUUUUAUUAGAGUCGUUCUUAGUAAUAAACUCUCCCUGUAAAAAGAUAUCAGAAUAGCCCCACAUUAUCUCUACAUGUCAUAAGAGACGACUAAUAGAGAUGCGUACAGUUGACAGCUGGUGUUAAAUUCUGUUAAACAGUAUGAUAAGUGCUCAACAAAAUUUUAGUGGAUUGUCUCAUCUCAGAUAUGCAAGGGGAUUACGGACAACAAGUGAAAAGAAGUACCAAGGUUGCAUGAUUUUUUGCAGAAGAUAAGACUAGCUUCAAUAAGAGAAAAUCUGGAAAAAGUUAACAAUAGGAAUGCAGAAUAGAGAGCAACAUUUGAGGAAAAGAGACUAAGGGUAAAUAGAAGUAAAACAGUGUAUGGAUUUGCAGGAACAGAACAAGACAGCUAAUGAUAAUAAGUGGAUACAGAUGAAAUUGAAAGUUUUAAGUACAUAUGGACUUUGUACAAUAAAACAGUGGUUUUCAUGAAUAUAUGAAUUAUAAGAUUAAGUACAAUUGAAUAAAAUGGAUAGAAGCGUCAGGUGAUUUAUGUGAUAAGAGAAUUCCAAUAAGACUUAAAGUUAAGUUCUACAAAAGUGAAGUAAGACUGACUAUAUUGUGUGGUUUGGUAUGUAAGGCCUUAGAUAGAAAAAUAGAACAGAAAAUGAGUGUAGCAGAGAUGAAAAUGCUUAGAUGGAUGAGUGGAAUAAUGAGAGAAGAUAGGAUAAAGGGAUGAGUAUAUAAGAGGGAGCUUAGACAUGACUUCGAUAGUAAAACAAAUAGAGAUAAUAGACUGAGAUGACUUGGACAUGUUAUGAGGAGAGAGAAAUCUGAUGCAGUAAGAUUUGUUAUAAGAAUAAACGUAGGAGGAAAGAAGUAGAGUAGAAGACUAAAAAGGAGAUGAUUUGAUACGGUUGGGGGUGAAAAAAGAAUAACCGGUGAAUGCGAAAUUGCAAGGUGGGAGAAGAUGUAGAAAAAACUAUUAGUAAUAAACUAAUUAUUCUUCUUCUUCUUCAUUUAAAAUAUUUGAUGUCAGCUACCAUUUUCCUAAAUUUCCAUUGCCCUGAUCACCCAUCUCACAUAAUUCAUGAUUAAUAAUCUAUAUACUUAACCUUACAAAAUAAAUUUCAUCAUAAGGGUUUUUAGUUAGGCAAUUUGUAUUAGAUGAACUCAUAGCUGUCAAUAUGUUAGUGUACUUGAGCAUAAUACGGUGCUUAAUAUUCAUACUGAUUAGUACACUAUUAAUAUUUAAAAAAAAGGAAAUUCCUACUUGCUAUUAAAACGUACUUUAAAAUAUCUACACAGUAUAAUUGUAUUAAAAUCGAAAAUAAAAAAAUCAGAGCAACUUUGUACCUGGGUGCAUCAACUGCUGUAUAUAAAAAGUUGGAAAGGUAGUAAAAGGUAAAUUAAAUGUAUAUCUGUAAGUAAAGAUAAACCAUUGGUAACGAAAAAGCGAUUCUGAGGGGAGUUAAGUUAAUAGUGUUGCUUUUUCAACAAUAUAUAUGCCGUAUUAUGGUAAAAUAAUUGCAUAGGCAUUAUAUAUUUCUUUAAUAAUAUUUGUUUAGUAUUGUACUUAUUUUCCGAUUUUUCCUACGGUUAUCUCAUGUUUUUCCCGGUUUGUCUCAUUGAUUGAAAAAUUUCCCGGAGAAAAUCAAAAAAGACAUCUUCAGAGUACCUUUCUAGUCAAAUUUCUUUUUAGAAAAUGUGCUACACUUAAAUAUCGGAGUAAAAUUUCUGGUAGAAAAGUUGUCCACAGAAAAAAAUAUAAAUAAACAUAUUUGUAAAACCAUAAGCUUCUUCACUCCACUCAGAAUAAAGAAUAUAACUUUCUUAAACAAAAAUUUGUUUAUUAAUAAUUAGUAUAAAAAAGAUAAUUGAGAAUUACACCACACAGUAAACAUUAUAUAGGAUACUGGCUAUAUUAUAAUGUACCGAAUUUUUUUAAACACUAUAUGAAAUUUAUACACAGGAUAGAUUACAAUUUUUAAGUUAUAUGAAAAUUUGUUUAAUCGAUCAAAAAAAAUAUUGACAUAUAAACGAAAAACCAUUUAAUUUUAAGGUUUUACACAAAUGAUCAAAUUGAAAAAGUUCGUUGGGAAUUUUAGACAUUUAUCAUUACCAAAUAAUGGCCUUAUGUACUCAGGAGGUAGUACUUUAAUGAAAUGUGUUGUACAUGAUAGGUAAUGUUUAAUUUAUCAAAGCACAUAUUAUAAAUCAAAAACAAAUUAAAAACUCUGAAUCAUUUUUUAUUUUUUUUAGAGCGUUUUUUACAAUUCGAAGGACAUACUUUAUAGUAAUGAUGACAAACAUAUUAUAUUCUGGUAAAUAAUUUAACGUCAAUAACUCAGAAAAAAAUAGUCACAGUUUUAUUAAAAUAUUGAAAUAACUAUAUGAAAAAAAAAAAUGUACAAUUUGCAUUAAAAAAGAAAAAAGAUUUUUUUAUACAUUUGGAAGUAAAUACACGUAUUUCAUAAUUUUUUUUUUUUUUAAGAAUGUAUAUAAAUUAAUUUCAUCUUUCUUAUACAUAAAUUAUUUAAAUGCCUACUUAAUACAACCAUGUAUAAUAGGAAUUUAAUACUUAUUUUAAUAUAUUUUACUAUUAAAUUAUUAUAUUAUUAAAUCAUUAUUAUCAUUACGUUACCAAAAAUAGUUAUUAUCUACUGAUAAUUGUUCAUAAUUCUAACAACACCAAUUGUAAUUCAGUGAUGUAUUCCAUUCAUCUCUUAAGGGCGGGGGGAGGCGGAAUAACCUUAGGUGAAUACUUUUCAUAAUAAAAUUCAGGCCUGAAUCUGAUCAGGACAAUAAACGACAACCAUGAAAGUUGAUAACACAACUUUAACUACAGCGGUGGUUUUAAUUAAUAACUUUUAAACCUACAAAUAUUUACAAACGUUAUUAUUUAUAGUUAAAAAUUAAACAAAAAUGCACAAAGACUAAUUUAAGUUACCUAUAAUGAAACCGAAAUAUUUAAAGAGGAUGACCACAAUGUCCCUUCCAUAAACACCAAAACUGCUAUAAUGAGGUUUUCGCAAGAGAGUUUUACAAAGCUUGAAUUUUUCAUAAACUGGUCUUAAAUAUUGUUAUGAAUAUUUUAAGUUUAAAAUUAUGUAUAAACUUGAAAUUUAUUUUCAAUAAUGAUAGACGACAUAAUAAUAACCUUAAAAGCUUGUACCUAUUGAAUAAAGUUAGUUUUAUUCACUCUUGUUCUUGUAAACAUAUGUAUAAUUGUGUAGUAAAAUUUUUGAAACCAUGAAGCAGAAAAUGUACUUGAAGACUUUUAUGUAACUAUAGAAUUUCUAUAAAAUAUAAAUGUACUUAUACCAUAUACUUACAUAUAAUUUGUACAUUAAAUUAGGAACUUUAAUCCAGUUCACAGUUUUAAACCAUUUCUCAGUUUAGUACAAAUUUAAUUUUGGACAGUGAUAAUAUUUAGUGUCUAUGAAUUAUGGUUAUAAUAUGUGACCAAAUGUUUUAAAAUGAUAAAAACUAUUUAAAUUAACUAUUAAGGUUGUUACGUUUUUAUUUUAAUUUUUUUAUAUUCAGUAAUUUUAUUUUUUUAAAUGCUGAAACAUAACAAUAAUAAUAUGAAACAUAUUAUCUUUUAAAUAUAACUGAAUUUACAUAAAUAAAAAUUUACCAAAGAAAUGAUACAAGUAAAUGCAUAUUUUGAGCUUGAUUAUCAAGUUUGAGUACCUAAGUAACACUGGGUGAAAUAUAAAUGGUAAAUAUAAAUACUGUAAAAUUUAUUGUAGGCAUAAAUACAAAUAUACAAUACAUAUUUCUUAUUGUAACUUGUUUACAAUUCUAUAAAUUAUUUUAAAUAAAAAAAACUAUAUUUUUGUAGCAUAUUUUCAUGUUUAAGGAAUAUUAAGAGAAUAUUUUAAGGUUUUUUAGAACAUAUUAUCAUCAUACACUAAACUUUUAAGAACCUAAAAAUCCGCCCUCUAGCUAUAACAGUUAGACAGCUGAAACGUGAAGAUUUCUAAUCGUAACGGAAAUAGACAUCACUUUUUAUAAUAAAUUCGCUAAAAUAAUAAUAUAAAAAUUGUAGUAAAAUUACACUGUUGUAAAUGUUGAAAUACUUGUUAGAAUUUCGCAUUUGAAAUUUUAAUGUCAAUCGUGAUUUUGCCUGCCAGACAGGAGAAAAAUGUAGAAAUCUACAUUGACGGAGAAAAAUGUAUUCGAUUAUAAUUUAUAAAAAUCACUUUAUAUAGUUUUUAAACAAUAUAAUACCUUGUUCUAAUCAUCAAUUUCAAAGGUGAUUUUCUAGUAGAAAAUUUUGACUAAAUGUUGGUUUUUUUGAAAUAUCAUUUUGGUUUGAUUAUAAUAACAAUACAAAUAAUGGUUUUGUGGUUUCUAAAUAAAAAGUAUUGCACAAAUUACGUUUUCUACAUUCGUUUGGGAUUUUUUUGUUAUUUUUAACAAUAGAAAAAGUUUCCAUUCAAAAUAAUUGCGGUUUACCAAUUGAAUGGGUUCAAGACUAUUGCUUCAUAAAAAUACGAUCUUAGCAACAAGUUUAAUCAAAGAUAUUUGAUUUUACUUUUUACGAUUUCAACUCAGGAAAUGUAUUAAGUAAAUUGUUUUUCAAGUAUAUUAUUGUCUUUUACAUAGCAUCAUUAAAUUGUUAACUAUGUACGUACUAUAUUAUACUAAUAAAUGUUUCUUCGCGUGUUUGCUACAUUACCAUUAAAAAUAGUAUUAAUUUACUGCACGAUUGACACGAAACACGAUCUCUAGAAUAAUAUAUUAUACGUAAAACCGCGAAGUUGACAAAAGAUAAAACUAUAACAAUGCCUACUUCUUUAUAAUAUAGUAAUCUUAAUAGUCAUGAAAAAAUAUUUGUAUACUUAUUGUUUCAUCGGUAAUAAAGAUUAUACAGUUUAUAACUACGAUUAAACUUUUAAAAGAAAAAAAAAACGACAAUAAUAAAGGUAUAUUUUAUAUUUGAAGCGUAAGCCAAAAAAAAAAAACAAACUAAAAACAGUAAAAAAUGUUUAUCUACCUAUUUGGGCUUAACGUAUACGGCAGAAACUGAUUCAGGAAUUAUUCAAUGGGGAGGGGUAGUUAAAAUGUAUACAGUACCAAUAUUAUUCUAUAGGGAACAGUACAAUGCAUUAUAUUAUGCUGAAAGAAGAGGGGGGGUUAUUAAUACUCGAUUAUCCCCAGUGGAUCCCUCACUAGCAUAUACGAUUAAAAUAUUUGGUGAUCAACCACAGUUAAAUGGACUCGGCGAUGCACGGGAAGAUGUAUUUAAAUGUAUAUUUAUAACUGUUGGCUUCCACCGUUGGACGAUAACCGUUGAUGGGUAAGGGGUAAGGGAAGACAUGCCCCCCUAGAAAAAAUAAAUAUCACAACAAUUGAUUUUUGUUAUUAAUUAUUUAAAUUAAUUUAAACAAUUAUGUAGGUACUAUAAACUGUAGAUAAACAAGUAUUUAAUGCAUCUAAAUCUGUAGUUUAAAUAAUAUUAAUGUUUUGUAGGCAUUGGACUUUAUACUAUUAUUUGUAUAUUUGCAAUCCCACGGUUACCUUGUUGAUAAAUGUUUUGGAAAACCUGAUUUUAGUUUGUUCUCCCGGACAGAAAAUUACUUUCUGGACUCACACAAAAUUAACAUUUAAAUAUUAUCCAUACAUUUUAAAAUAUUAUUCUCAUAAUCAUUCAGGAGUGGAUUUGAUGGAACCCGACCCACUAUUCUAGGUAUACUACACUAAAAAGUUUUCAGGAUCUUAUUUAUUUAUUUUUAAAUAUCGAUAUAUAUAUAUAUAUUGUUCAAUUAAAGUUGAAUUAAUAAAAAAGCGUAAACGAUUAAAAGGUUUGUGAAUGUACAAUUAUUAAAAAUAAGUAAUAUCUCGUAAUUAAUAUUAAUACGAAUUUAAAUGUUUGUCGUAAAUAAUUAAUAUAUUAAUGUAUAAUGUUGCGUAUAAUAGAGAAGAUUGAAAAUCGACUGCAAACCAAUCUUCAGAUUUAAACCAUAAAGAGAAAAUUAAUAUGUCAAUAAUAACGUAGAAUGAAAGCAUAUCAUAAUAUAAUAUUAUAAUCAAUAUGAUUAAAAUUUGGUGUAAUAUGGAACAUAAAAUGUGAUACUUUAAUGUAGUAUAUGGGUACCUAUAUAUUAACUUUAUCAUCCUCUGAUUAAUAUUUCUAGUAAAUAUAUUUUGAGUAAAUACAAUAUAAUAUGUAAUAUAUAAUAUAUAUCCAAUUAUGGUAUAUUUUUAUUUUUAAAAUAUUACCUUUUUUUUCCAAUUAAGAAAUUCAUUGUUUACUAAAUUUUGUAUUUGUUGUGUCCGUAGCAUUAAUGAAUCGACGAGUCUCAAGAAAUAAGUAUAUGCAAAAAUUAAUAGGUAAUCAUGGGUCUAUAUCACGAUGCAGAUAAAAUGUUACAAAACUUAUGCACAAAGUCAAAAAUCACACAUAACAAAU